GACGAGCGCUGGCGGCGUGCCUAAUACAUGCAAGUCGAGCGCAGGAAACUGACGGAACUCUUCGGAGGGAAGGCAGUGGAAUGAGCGGCGGACGGGUGAGUAACACGUAAGGAACCUGCCUCAAGGAUUGGGAUAACUCCGAGAAAUCGGAGCUAAUACCGGAUAGUUCAACGGACCGCAUGGUCCGCUGAUGAAAGGCGCUCCGGCGUCACCUUGAGAUGGCCUUGCGGUGCAUUAGCUAGUUGGUGGGGUAACGGCCCACCAAGGCGACGAUGCAAAGCCGACCUGAGAGGGUGAUCGGCCACACUGGGACUGAGACGCGGCCCAGACUCCUACGGGAGGCAGCAGUAGGGAAUCUUCCACAAUGGACGAAAGUCUGAUGGAGCAACGCCGCGUGAGUGAUGAAGGUUUUCGGAUCGUAAAACUCUGUUGUAAGGGAAGAACACGUACGAGAGGAAAUGCUCGUACCUUGACGGUACCUUACGAGAAAGCCACGGCUAACUACGUGCCAGCAGCCGCCGUAA
This 524-nucleotide ribosomal RNA is filed under the name uncultured bacterium. RNAcentral's name for it is "partial 16S ribosomal RNA". It matches the Rfam family "Bacterial small subunit ribosomal RNA", at positions 28 to 523 of the family's 1533-position model. The record is from RNAcentral.